UUUGAAUCACGCGCAGCGGCUCUCGUAUUGCACACGAGGAAGAAAAAGAACAGAGAUGAAGAAGCUGCGAACUGAAGUUAUAUUAUAUAUAUAUAUAUAUAUAUAUAUAUAUAUAAAGUGGCAGAACAUUUUAGUUAUUUAAGAUUGUAUAAAACAUAUGGUUAUAAAUAGGCCAAGAAGACAAUUAUGAAUGAGACUAUACGUGAUAACGUAUAUACAUUCGCUCGGAUAAUUAUGUGAUCCGCGAUUGUGUUCGACUUCUUUGACAGGAAGUCGCUUGUGUAAUAUGUUACUAAUGUAAUAUAGAGUUUUACGACAAAAACUAUUCAUUACGUACGAUUGUGAGAGAGAUGCAAGGCGAAAUAUUAUUUUCACCGCGCGUGAUGUCCUCGUGCUUUACUAUAUGAUCGACGAAAGAGCGAAUUGAGAUGUUUGAGAGAGAGAAAGAGAGAGAGAGAGCGAAUUGUACACGAUCUAACAUGUAGACCUGUCGAAGUAGAAAUGUGUGUAUCGUGUUGCAAAAUUCUACGUAAUGUAAUCGAACACACAACAUAUAGAAGCAAGAACGUUUUAAUUCGAGGAUAGAGAAAAAUGUAGGUCUAUAUCGAACCGAUGUAAUUUUGAUCGUGCUAAGAUUGUGUAAAGGAAAAUGGGGUUUUUUUCGUGUGACCCUCGAAUAUUUCCAUUACGAGAAAGAGUAUAAAAGAGAGAGAGAGAGAGAGAGAAAAAAAAAGAUAAAAAAAAGAAAAAAAAAGUAACUCAUAUUCCGAAAAUUUGUACUCGUAUAGAAGUUUCAGUUUACGAAUUUUUUUUUCGUUUUUUCGUUGCUAUUCUGUAUAUCGGUACUGCAGCUACCACUCGUAACUAUAUGUUCUGCGGUAACUGUGAGAAAUUGUGAAAGGCACGAAAAAGAAGGCUAAGAUAGGAAGACAAUAGGUAUGGAUAUGAUGAUGAUGAUCUCUCGAUUAAUUUUUUGUAGCAAAAGAAAACGGAGCGCUUAGAGGAGACGAAAAGAGAUUUGAAGAUUUUUUUCUGACGCACCAUAAUUGGUAUCGCCAAAAAAAAUAAUCCUUUACGAGGCACAAGUUUAUGGUACAUCGUAUCUUGUUCGUGGCCGAUCCUAAACGAAGAUCGAAAUAUAAUUAACGAGAUGAAUCAAUCUAUUUAUAUUUUACAAUUGAAAAUUUUAUUAUACGAUGAAUCGAAAUGAAAUGAAUCAUUGUGUAUAUGUUCGAGCGACGAACUAAAUACUAAAUAGAGAUGUAUUUAUGAUGAUCUAUUUUUAUCUUAUAUUAUUGAUUUACGAUGAAUUUGAAUCUCUGAUCUGACAAUGUUGCGGACUAUAUGCGAUGUACGUUUUUACGUAUUGUACCAUUCGCGAGGAAACGCUAGUUUCGCCUGUAUCCCACACGUAACGAAAUUAAAAUUGUAUCCAAUGAGGAAAUCGAUUGAAGUAUUGAAACCUGAAUUGUAGAGAAGCAUUACGAUUGCGUUACCGUUACUGCCACAUCAACGAGGCAUCAACGCUAUUAUUCCACGAAUAGAAGCACACGGGCCACUUAUGCUCCCAAGCACGUUUAUUCUGUGAGAUUUUCGUGCGAAAAAUAUUUUUGUGACGAUCCCUUAGGUUUAAUUUGUUAGCGACUUGAUCGAUGCGAGACACACGUACCUUGCGAUUGAAUUUAUAUAUCUUGAACAAAAAGAUAAAUUUGCGCCAAGUACACGCGGUUAACGAUUUCUUCGAUGCCUGCCAGGCAUGUGAAAUUAAUAGGGUACUAUAGGUUAUUAUUCGCGUUAUUAUUCGGAUUUUAAAAUGGUAAAAGCAGGGAAUGCAUAAUGGAGAUUUAUAUUUUGUUACAGGAAGACAACCACACGUUUUACAUUUGCUGUGAUCGUCGUAGAAUCGACGCUGUAUACUGCCGAAUCAAUAAGAAAGAAUAGAAAAAAAAAAGUAUAAAAAAAAAAAGAAAAUAUUUAAAAAAAAAAAAGAAAUAAGAAGAAAAAAAACUAAUACGAAUUACGUGACGCGAUAGAGGGACAAAAUAGAAAAUAGAGAAAUAAAGAUGGAAGAAAAUGUGCGAGAAAACAGAUAGAUUUUCGACGAGCACAGCUCCGAUGAUAGACCAAUAGAAACAACGAUACCUCAAGAAGACUCAAUAGUUAAUUAUCUCUUUAACGAUUAACUUGUACAGAAUCAAUAUUCUUUUACAGUAAAUAAUUACGCAUACCCACAUACAAUUGCAUACACACAGAUGCAGGUUAGGAAGAACAGCGAAAUCGUGAUUCAACAUUCGCUAUAUAAAGUAAAAAAACAAAUUUUCUGUCCCGCGUUUCAUUGAAUUGUGUCUCCGUGCUCGCAAUUUGCACUCCGUGUGUACGAAAGCGAUUAGAAAUAUGCGUUUCCAGCCAGAAGAAGAAGUGAAAAAAGAAAAAGCAAAAGACAAGUGUUAAUCCUUUCCAAGCACAGUUCAUGUUGUUCCUAUAGCUACGCGAAAAUUGUUUCUUUCGACAAUUAAAUCAUCUAUAUCUAUAUA
Molecule: long non-coding RNA, 2534 nt
Filed under: Apis dorsata (giant honeybee)
Lineage: Eukaryota; Metazoa; Arthropoda; Insecta; Hymenoptera; Apidae
Description: uncharacterized LOC116186511
Source: RNAcentral